ACCGUAGUAAUUCUAGAGCUAAUACAUGCUGUAAAACCUGACUUUUCGGAAAGGUUGUAUUUAUUAGAUAUCAAACCAAUAAUCUUUCGGGAUUAUUGUGAUGAUUCAUAAUAACUGAUCGGAUCAAGGUGUACCUUGAUAGAUCAUUCAAGUUUCUGCCCUAUCAGCUUUCGAUGGUAGUGUAUUGGACUACCAUGGCAGUCACGGGUAACGGAGAAUUAGGGUUCGAUUCCGGAGAGGGAGCCUGAGAAACGGCUACCACAUCUACGGAAGGCAGCAGGCGCGUAAAAUUACCCAAUCCUGAUUCAGGGAGGUAGUGACAAGAAAUAACAACUCGGGGCCUCACGGCUUACGAGAUUGCAAUGAGAACAAUUUAAAUCUCUUAGCGAGGAACAAUUGGAGGGCAAGUCUGGUGCCAGCAGCCGCGGUAAUUCCAGCUCCAAUAGCGUAUAUUAAAGUUGUUAGCAGUUAAAAAAGCUCGUAGUUGAAUUCUGAUUAUGGAUGUAGCGGUUUCCGUUACAUUUGGUAG
This 529-nucleotide ribosomal RNA is filed under the name uncultured eukaryote. RNAcentral's name for it is "SSU rRNA". It matches the Rfam family "Eukaryotic small subunit ribosomal RNA", at positions 146 to 678 of the family's 1831-position model. The record is from RNAcentral.